CUUUUUAUGCCGUGUUUGCGUUGCAAACACGCUUAUUUAUUGCGCUUUCUCAACUGACGUUUGCGAAAGCGCUGAAAAAAGUUUUAUCGGAAACCGAUGUUUCCUCAAAAACUUUUUAUGGAG
This is a regulatory RNA element of Treponema maltophilum ATCC 51939, 123 nucleotides long. It matches the Rfam family "TD-1 RNA". From Rfam's summary of the family: non coding RNA found in Treponema denticola The record is from Rfam. Lineage: Bacteria; Pseudomonadati; Spirochaetota; Spirochaetia; Treponematales; Treponemataceae.